UGGUAACAAUGAGAAGAGGGCACGUCCCGGGUAAUGGGGGUGUCACCUUUUCGAGGCAUCACUCCUUGAAGAUGUCUUGGAUGCUGGGGAGGCUAACGACCAUGAGGGAUCUCAGUGGCUAAAGAUAUUUGGCUGAGAGGCAGCACAGAACAAAGGAGCAACACACACAAAAUAACACAGGAAUUCAGCAGGCAAACAUCUGAUGAUUGGACAGCAAAGCAAAAAUGAAGUCAAUAAUAGAUCCAGCUAUGAUUUUAUUCAAUAGCAGAGAAGACCUCAUGAGCUGAUUGGCCUUGAACCACUCCAGUUCCUUAUUUUCUCAUACCUAUAA
This is a long non-coding RNA of Hypanus sabinus (Atlantic stingray), 331 nucleotides long. RefSeq lists it as uncharacterized. Lineage: Eukaryota; Metazoa; Chordata; Chondrichthyes; Myliobatiformes; Dasyatidae. The transcript is spliced from 3 exons. The record is from RefSeq and is a predicted model, not a curated record.